RNAcentral lists this ribosomal RNA (1734 nucleotides) under Enterobacter hormaechei. Its description in RNAcentral is "partial 23S ribosomal RNA". It matches the Rfam family "Bacterial large subunit ribosomal RNA", at positions 1215 to 2925 of the family's 2925-position model. RNAcentral also lists the same sequence under 1 other name. The record is from RNAcentral. Lineage: Bacteria; Pseudomonadati; Pseudomonadota; Gammaproteobacteria; Enterobacterales; Enterobacteriaceae.
UAUGUGUUGUUGGGUAGGGGAGCGUUCUGUAAGCCGUUGAAGGUGUGCUGUGAGGCAUGCUGGAGGUAUCAGAAGUGCGAAUGCUGACAUAAGUAACGAUAAAGCGGGUGAAAAGCCCGCUCGCCGGAAGACCAAGGGUUCCUGUCCAACGUUAAUCGGGGCAGGGUGAGUCGACCCCUAAGGCGAGGCCGAAAGGCGUAGUCGAUGGGAAACAGGUUAAUAUUCCUGUACUUGGUGUUACUGCGAAGGGGGGACGGAGAAGGCUAUGUCAGCCGGGCGACGGUUGUCCCGGUUUAAGCAUGUAGGCGGAGGUUCCAGGUAAAUCCGGUACCUUUUAACGCUGAGGUGUGAUGACGAGGCACUACGGUGCUGAAGUGAUAAAUGCCCUGCUUCCAGGAAAAGCCUCUAAGCAUCAGGUAACACGAAAUCGUACCCCAAACCGACACAGGUGGUCAGGUAGAGAAUACCAAGGCGCUUGAGAGAACUCGGGUGAAGGAACUAGGCAAAAUGGUGCCGUAACUUCGGGAGAAGGCACGCUGAUAGGUAGGUGAAGUCCCUGCGGACGGAGCUGAAAUCAGUCGAAGAUACCAGCUGGCUGCAACUGUUUAUUAAAAACACAGCACUGUGCAAACACGAAAGUGGACGUAUACGGUGUGACGCCUGCCCGGUGCCGGAAGGUUAAUUGAUGGGGUUAGCGGCAACGCGAAGCUCUUGAUCGAAGCCCCGGUAAACGGCGGCCGUAACUAUAACGGUCCUAAGGUAGCGAAAUUCCUUGUCGGGUAAGUUCCGACCUGCACGAAUGGCGUAAUGAUGGCCAGGCUGUCUCCACCCGAGACUCAGUGAAAUUGAACUCGCUGUGAAGAUGCAGUGUACCCGCGGCAAGACGGAAAGACCCCGUGAACCUUUACUAUAGCUUGACACUGAACACUGGUCCUUGAUGUGUAGGAUAGGUGGGAGGCUUUGAAGCGUGGACGCCAGUCUGCGUGGAGCCAUCCUUGAAAUACCACCCUUUAAUGGCUGGUGUUCUAACGUAGACCCGUGAUCCGGGUUGCGGACAGUGUCUGGUGGGUAGUUUGACUGGGGCGGUCUCCUCCCAAAGAGUAACGGAGGAGCACGAAGGUUGGCUAAUCCUGGUCGGACAUCAGGAGGUUAGUGCAAUGGCAUAAGCCAGCUUGACUGCGAGCGUGACGGCGCGAGCAGGUGCGAAAGCAGGUCAUAGUGAUCCGGUGGUUCUGAAUGGAAGGGCCAUCGCUCAACGGAUAAAAGGUACUCCGGGGAUAACAGGCUGAUACCGCCCAAGAGUUCAUAUCGACGGCGGUGUUUGGCACCUCGAUGUCGGCUCAUCACAUCCUGGGGCUGAAGUAGGUCCCAAGGGUAUGGCUGUUCGCCAUUUAAAGUGGUACGCGAGCUGGGUUUAGAACGUCGUGAGACAGUUCGGUCCCUAUCUGCCGUGGGCGCUGGAGAAUUGAGGGGGGCUGCUCCUAGUACGAGAGGACCGGAGUGGACGCAUCACUGGUGUUCGGGUUGUCAUGCCAAUGGCACUGCCCGGUAGCUAAAUGCGGAAGAGAUAAGUGCUGAAAGCAUCUAAGCACGAAACUUGCCCCGAGAUGAGUUCUCCCUGAGACCUUGAGUCUCCUGAAGGAACGUUGAAGACGACGACGUUGAUAGGUCGGGUGUGUAAGCGCAGCGAUGCGUUGAGCUAACCGAUACUAAUGAACCGUGAGGCUUAACCUU